AUUGAACGCUGGCGGCAGGCUUAACACAUGCAAGUCGAGCGGGGUGAUGGUGCUUGCACUAUCACUUAGCGGCGGACGGGUGAGUAAUGCUUAGGAAUCUGCCUAUUAGUGGGGGACAACAUCUCGAAAGGGAUGCUAAUACCGCAUACGUCCUACGGGAGAAAGCAGGGGAUCACUUGUGACCUUGCGCUAAUAGAUGAGCCUAAGUCGGAUUAGCUAGUUGGUGGGGUAAAGGCCUACCAAGGCGACGAUCUGUAGCGGGUCUGAGAGGAUGAUCGGCCACCCUGGGACUGAGACACGGCCCAGACGCCUACGGGAGGCAGCAGUGGGGAAUAUUGGACAAUGGGGGGAACCCUGAUCCAGCCAUGCCGCGUGUGUGAAGAAGGCCUUAUGGUUGUAAAGCACUUUAAGCGAGGAGGAGGCUCUUUUGGUUAAUACCCAAGAUGAGUGGACGUUACUCGCAGAAUAAGCACCGGCUAACUCUGUGCCAGCCGCCGCCGUAA
RNAcentral lists this ribosomal RNA (503 nucleotides) under uncultured bacterium. RNAcentral's name for it is "partial 16S ribosomal RNA". It matches the Rfam family "Bacterial small subunit ribosomal RNA", at positions 30 to 523 of the family's 1533-position model. The record is from RNAcentral.